Molecule: non-coding RNA, 210 nt
Organism: Pelobates cultripes (western spadefoot toad)
Lineage: Eukaryota; Metazoa; Chordata; Amphibia; Anura; Pelobatidae
Source: the annotation of a GenBank genome assembly
CUUUUGGAGGUCUAUUUGGAUGGAGUGGGUCCCACAUACUUUUAGUGGGUGGACCUCCCACUCCACUUUAUAACUGUUCUUUUUUCUAAUAUACCCAGGGUUCACACCCUUUAGUAUCUCUGUAACCUACUGUGAGACAUCAGUGUUGGUUGGUCCUGCACUGUAGUCUCUUCUUUGCUUCACUUUUGUUUCUGUUUAUACAGUCCUAAC